This 58-nucleotide transfer RNA is filed under the name Apaloderma vittatum (bar-tailed trogon). It matches the Rfam family "tRNA", at positions 8 to 63 of the family's 71-position model. From Rfam's summary of the family: Transfer RNA (tRNA) molecules are approximately 80 nucleotides in length. Their secondary structure includes four short double-helical elements and three loops (D, anti-codon, and T loops). Further hydrogen bonds mediate the characteristic L-shaped molecular structure. tRNAs have two regions of fundamental functional importance: the anti-codon, which is responsible for specific mRNA codon recognition, and the 3' end, to which the tRNAs corresponding amino acid is attached (by aminoacyl-tRNA synthetases). tRNAs cope with the degeneracy of the genetic code in two manners: having more than one tRNA (with a specific anti-codon) for a particular amino acid; and 'wobble' base-pairing, i.e. permitting non-standard base-pairing at the 3rd anti-codon position. Lineage: Eukaryota; Metazoa; Chordata; Aves; Trogoniformes; Trogonidae. The record is from Rfam by way of RNAcentral.
UAGCUCAGUCAGUUGAGCAUAGCGCUAACAAUGCUAAGGUCACAGGUUCGAUUCCCGU